AUAGAUCAAUGGUUAAUCUGGAGUCUCAUAAAGUGAUUGUUGGUAACUUCUUGGACAGGCUGAAAAUCCUUGUGUCGUCGGUUCGAUUCCGGCUCUGGCCA
This 101-nucleotide transfer RNA is filed under the name Chlamydiales bacterium. RNAcentral's name for it is "tRNA-Thr". The record is from RNAcentral. Lineage: Bacteria; Pseudomonadati; Chlamydiota; Chlamydiia; Chlamydiales.